RNAcentral lists this transfer RNA (75 nucleotides) under Chloroflexota bacterium. Its description in RNAcentral is "tRNA-Thr". It matches the Rfam family "tRNA". From Rfam's summary of the family: Transfer RNA (tRNA) molecules are approximately 80 nucleotides in length. Their secondary structure includes four short double-helical elements and three loops (D, anti-codon, and T loops). Lineage: Bacteria; Bacillati; Chloroflexota. The record is from RNAcentral.
GCCGACGUAGCUCAAUGGCAGAGCAGCGGUUUUGUAAACCGCAGGUUCUCGGUUCGAGUCCGAGCGUCGGCUCCA